AUUGAACGCUGGCGGCAGGCCUAACACAUGCAAGUCGAACGGUAACAGGAAGCAGCUUGCUGCUUUGCUGACGAGUGGCGGACGGGUGAGUAAUGUCUGGGAAACUGCCUGAUGGAGGGGGAUAACUACUGGAAACGGUAGCUAAUACCGCAUAACGUCGCAAGACCAAAGAGGGGGACCUUCGGGCCUCUUGCCAUCGGAUGUGCCCAGAUGGGAUUAGCUAGUAGGUGGGGUAACGGCUCACCUAGGCGACGAUCCCUAGCAGGUCUGAGAGGAUGACCAGCCACACUGGAACUGAGACACGGUCCAGACUCCUACGGGAGGCAGCAGUGGGGAAUAUUGCACAAUGGGCGCAAGCCUGAUGCAGCCAUGCCGCGUGUAUGAAGAAGGCCUUCGGGUUGUAAAGUACUUUCAGCGGGGAGGAAGGGAGUAAAGUUAAUACCUUUGCUCAUUGACGUUGCCCGCAGAAGAAGCACCGGCUAACUCCGUG
RNAcentral lists this ribosomal RNA (490 nucleotides) under uncultured bacterium. Its description in RNAcentral is "partial 16S ribosomal RNA". It matches the Rfam family "Bacterial small subunit ribosomal RNA", at positions 30 to 507 of the family's 1533-position model. The record is from RNAcentral.